Molecule: ribosomal RNA, 255 nt
Filed under: uncultured bacterium
Lineage: Bacteria
Description: partial 16S ribosomal RNA
Rfam family: Bacterial small subunit ribosomal RNA
Source: RNAcentral
UACGUAGGGUGCGAGCGUUGUCCGGAAUUAUUGGGCGUAAAGAGCUUGUAGGCGGUUGUCGCGUCUGGCCGUGAAAAUCCGAGCUCACCUCGGACUUGGCGGUGGGUGACGGGCAGACUAGAGUGUGGUAGGGGAGGACUGGAAUUCCAUGGUGUAGCGGUGGAAAUGCGCAGAUAUCAGGAGGAACACCGGUGGCGAAGGCGGUCUCUGGGCAUUACCUGACGCUGAGGAGCGAAAGUGUGGGAGGCGAACAGG